CUUAUAGCCAGCGGACGCGGACUGAUGGUGGAUGAGGACCUUCCUCCUGUCAGGGGCGGCUCAGCCCUCAGUGCACAGUGCAGCCAUGCAUCUGCAGAGGAACCCUGCUGACCUCCACAGUACCUCAUGGACCUCCUACAGCUAAAUAUCGAG
Long non-coding RNA from Brienomyrus brachyistius, 153 nucleotides. RefSeq lists it as uncharacterized. NCBI's taxonomy places the organism in Eukaryota, Metazoa, Chordata, Actinopteri, Osteoglossiformes, Mormyridae. The record is from RefSeq and is a predicted model, not a curated record. The transcript is spliced from 3 exons.